GCUCCCGUGUUGCAGUCGUUAGCAAGCCUGUUUCCGGCGCAGGAGGUCUCGGGUUCAAAUCCCGACUGGAGUU
RNAcentral lists this transfer RNA (73 nucleotides) under Kwoniella mangroviensis CBS 8507. RNAcentral's name for it is "tRNA-Arg (CCG) (tRNA-Arg-CCG-1-1)". It matches the Rfam family "tRNA". From Rfam's summary of the family: Transfer RNA (tRNA) molecules are approximately 80 nucleotides in length. Their secondary structure includes four short double-helical elements and three loops (D, anti-codon, and T loops). Lineage: Eukaryota; Fungi; Basidiomycota; Tremellomycetes; Tremellales; Cryptococcaceae. RNAcentral also lists the same sequence under 2 other names. The record is from RNAcentral.